RNAcentral lists this ribosomal RNA (424 nucleotides) under uncultured bacterium. RNAcentral's name for it is "partial 16S ribosomal RNA". It matches the Rfam family "Bacterial small subunit ribosomal RNA", at positions 360 to 776 of the family's 1533-position model. The record is from RNAcentral.
AAUCUUCCGCAAUGGACGAAAUGCUGACGGAGCAACGCCGUGAGAACGAAGAAGGCCUUCGGUUCGAAAAUCUCUUAUGUUAGGGAAGAACAAGGAACGGAUUAACUGCCGGUACCUUGACGAUACCUAACCUGAAAGACACCGCUAACCACCGGCCAGCAACCGCGGUAAUACGUAGGUGGCAAGCGUUGUCCGGAAUUAUUGGGCGUAAAGCGCGCGCAGGCGGUCUCUUAAGUCUGAUGUGAAAGCCCCCGGCUCAGCCGGGGAGGGUCAUUGGAAACUGGGAGACUUGAGUGCAGAAGAGAAGAGCGGAAUUCCACGUGUAGCGGUGAAAUGCGUAGAGAUGUGGAGGAACACCAGUGGCGAAGGCGACCACCUGGGCUAAUACUGACACUGAGGUGCGAAAGCGUGGGGAGCAAACAGG